Molecule: small nuclear RNA, 107 nt
Filed under: Castor canadensis (American beaver)
Lineage: Eukaryota; Metazoa; Chordata; Mammalia; Rodentia; Castoridae
Source: RNAcentral
AUACUUGUAUCACUAGCACAUAUGCUAAAAUUGGAAUGAUACAGGUAAAAUUAACAUGGCCCUGGUGCAAGCAAGGCAGGUAAAUUUGUGAAACAUACCAUAUUUAA